This 92-nucleotide non-coding RNA is filed under the name Cereibacter sphaeroides. RNAcentral describes it as "Rhodobacter sphaeroides Glycine sequence". It matches the Rfam family "Glycine riboswitch aptamer". From Rfam's summary of the family: This family represents the bacterial glycine riboswitch. Lineage: Bacteria; Pseudomonadati; Pseudomonadota; Alphaproteobacteria; Rhodobacterales; Paracoccaceae. RNAcentral also lists the same sequence under 1 other name. The record is from RNAcentral.
AGCCACAGGAUCGGGAGAAUCCGGGGGCGACCCCGGUGCCGAAGGAGCAACCGCCCCGGUAAACUCUCAGGCGCAAGGACCGUCCUGUUUCG